ACCCAACGAGGAGCAAACAUCCUGUCUUAACUCCUGUUCUAGCCCAGAGCCAGUAAUGGUGAACCCACUGGGGCUAACGGGAAGAGAGGAUGAGAACUUGUUCUGUGAGGAAAUGUCUGAGGUAC
This 125-nucleotide small nucleolar RNA is filed under the name Dasypus novemcinctus (nine-banded armadillo). RNAcentral's name for it is "Small nucleolar RNA SNORD22 (ENSDNOG00000049309.1)". It matches the Rfam family "Small nucleolar RNA SNORD22". Rfam says of the family: U22 is a member of the C/D class of snoRNA which contain the C (UGAUGA) and D (CUGA) box motifs. U22 is encoded within the U22 snoRNA host gene (UHG) in mammals and has also been identified in Xenopus. U22 is thought to as a 2'-O-ribose methylation guide for ribosomal RNA. Lineage: Eukaryota; Metazoa; Chordata; Mammalia; Cingulata; Dasypodidae. The record is from RNAcentral.